UCCGUAGGUGAACCUGCGGAAGGAUCAUUAACGAGUUUUGAAACGGGUUGUAGCUGGCCUUCCGAGGCAUGUGCACGCCCUGCUCAUCCACUCUACACCUGUGCACUUACUGUAGGUCGGCGUGGGUUUCUGACCUCCGGGUUGGAAGCAUUCUGCUGGCCUAUGUCUAUUACAAACCCUUUAAAGUAUCAGAAUGUAAACGCGUCUAACGCAUCUUAAUACAACUUUCAGCAACGGAUAUCUUGGCUCUCGCAUCGAUGAAGAACGCAGCGAAAUGCGAUAAGUAAUGUGAAUUGCAGAAUUCAGUGAAUCAUCGAAUCUUUGAACGCACCUUGCGCUCCUUGGUAUUCCGAGGAGCAUGCCUGUUUGAGUGUCAUGUAUUCCUCAGCCCUCUCAGAGUUUUUCUCUCGAGUCCGGACUGGACUUGGAGGCUGCUGGUUUUAUUUUAAAUCAGCUCCUCUUAAAUGAAUUAGUGUGAAUAUUGCCAAAUGUUCUCCAGUGUAAUAAUUAUUUGCGCUGCAUGAACUGAGGCAGAUUUAAUAUGUUCAUGCUAUCUAACCGUCCCCAGUGGACAAUAAUA
This 580-nucleotide ribosomal RNA is filed under the name uncultured fungus. Its description in RNAcentral is "eukaryotic LSU rRNA". The stretch from base 223 to 376 matches the Rfam family "5.8S ribosomal RNA". The record is from RNAcentral. Lineage: Eukaryota; Fungi.